RNAcentral lists this ribosomal RNA (432 nucleotides) under uncultured bacterium. RNAcentral's name for it is "partial 16S ribosomal RNA". It matches the Rfam family "Bacterial small subunit ribosomal RNA", at positions 29 to 507 of the family's 1533-position model. The record is from RNAcentral.
AACGAACGCUGGCGGCAUGCCUAACACAUGCAAGUCGAACGAGACCUUCGGGUCUAGUGGCGCACGGGUGCGUAACGCGUGGGAACCUGCCCUUAGGUUCGGAAUAACUCCCCGAAAGGGGUGCUAAUACCGGAUAAUGUCUUCGGACCAAAGAUUUAUCGCCUUUGGAUGGGCCCGCGUUGGAUUAGCUAGUUGGUAGGGUAAAGCCUACCAAGGCGACGAUCCAUAGCUGGUCUGAGAGGAUGAUCAGCCACACUGGGACUGAGACACGGCCCAGACUCCUACGGGAGGCAGCAGUGGGGAAUAUUGGACAAUGGGCGAAAGCCUGAUCCAGCAAUGCCGCGUGAGUGAUGAAGGCCUUAGGGUUGUAAAGCUCUUUUACCCGGGAUGAUAAUGACAGUACCGGGAGAAUAAGCUCCGGCUAACUCCGUG